GACCCCCGGUCAGGCGGGGUCACCCGCUGAGUUU
This 34-nucleotide ribosomal RNA is filed under the name Punica granatum (pomegranate). RNAcentral's name for it is "partial 28S ribosomal RNA". The record is from RNAcentral. Lineage: Eukaryota; Viridiplantae; Streptophyta; Magnoliopsida; Myrtales; Lythraceae.